This 6288-nucleotide long non-coding RNA is filed under the name Sus scrofa (pig). RNAcentral's name for it is "lncRNA (ENSSSCG00050038616.1)". Lineage: Eukaryota; Metazoa; Chordata; Mammalia; Artiodactyla; Suidae. The record is from RNAcentral.
GUGUGUUAAUGAGCUAUCUCUUGAAUUUGUCCAUUGAUCGUGUCUCAGAAAUAUUUUCUCAUUGUUUCAUCACACUGAAACUUUGGCCAAGAAAUGUUUAAAAUUCAAAGCAUUGAUAUCAAUUUCCCCCCCUUUUUUUUUAAAGGCAACUUACAAGAUUAAAAUUAAAUUUGGUUGAUGAUGGUUCUGGACAAAUACAGCUCUUUUAUUUGAGGUAUGCCAUUUUGAAGACAGACCCGUGGAAUUUUAUCCUUGAGGAUAGGGGAAAUCUUUGUGAAAGUCUGUAUUUUAUAAAGCAAAAAGAAUAUAUCACUAAAGGUUGUCAGUGCAACAUAAAUUGUGUACUCAUUAUCUUGAGAAAGGGAUGAGAAAAAGCCCAUCAAAUUCUUUACCUUACAUCAAAGCAGUUUUGUGUUAAAACAUUAAAACAGUUGAUACAUGUAAUUUGUAACAGAGCGAUGAGACAUUUGAUGUUUUUCAAUCAAAUGGUGCUUUAGGGUUAUGGUUAAAUCAAUAGUUGAGUCAUCAGAAUUAUGUAUCUUUACAAUCUGAAAUGUACAUUCUGUAGACAUUUUUUUGUGAUGCAGAUUACAAAUGACCUAGAAUUUUGUAGUUGCAGCUCUUAUGAUUCUAAGGAACUAUAUUUCAAAAGCUAAAUACACUUUCAUAUUCUAGUUAUUAUGUAGUGAAUUUAAAAUUCUGAUUUUUUUUCUGUUUUUAUGAGUUCGCUUUCAAAUAGGCACAAAAAUAAGUAAGUUAUCUGAUAGGAAACUAGAAUAAUACGGCUGAGGAGACCUUGAAAAAUGUAGCUUAGUCUUUUUAAAGCAUAAGAAGGAAGAAAUAAUUUCAACAUAUGUGUGAUGUUUUGACAUCUUAAAGCUAGACAUAUGAAUGAAAAAAUAUGUACAAUGAAAAUUUUCAGGAAUUAUUUCCUACUCUUAAGUUAACACUAAAUGUGGAAAUAAAUGCCAAGCCAAUAUUAGCAAGGGAUUUACCAGAGGAAAUAUGUAAUAUAAUGAGAUAUCUUGGGAAAUUUUAAGAAUAGCCAAAUAACCAACUAGUUAACAUGAGGGCAGGUUUACCUUUGUGCUUGUAAUUUUUGUGGAAUAUCUUUUAUCUGUUGUUGUUGACUUAUUCUGUUGAUACAAAUAGGUGAUAAAAAGUAUUAUUUUUUUUACCUUUGCUUUAGCUUAAUUUUUGCCUUUCAGUCCUUUUGCAAUUUGACCAAAUUUGUGUUUAUUAUAGUGUGCAAAAGGAAACCAAAUGUUAGACCUUUAUACUUUUAAAAGAUGUAGCAUAUAUAGAAAAGUCAGUAUCUUUCAUCCUAAGUUUCUUUAAUACAAAUGUCAAGUUUAGGGUUUUCUCUGUGUAAAUGAUUGGAUAUUGGAUUGGCAUUCAGAUGUGGUUAGGCAUUGCUAUAAAAAUUGAGAAUUGAGCCUCUUAAGACACAAAUAUAUUUGAAAUUUAAUGUAAAUUUAAGCAUAAAUUGACAGUAAAUUUAUAAUCGCCUACCAGAGGUAUAAUUUGACCCAUAAAAAAAGAAUAAAGAAGAUUAGAAACAUUAAAUGAAGAUUAUCCUUUUUAGUCUAGUAUUAGUAAUUAUAAAAAUAACAAAUGAUACGGUAAGUUCUACAUUAAUGUAAUAGAAUACAGCUUUCUUUUUAUUAUCAACAAGGCAAAAGUAAUAAAUUACAUUUUAAAAAGAUCUGCAUGGACUUCUGAGCCAAGCUUGUAAAAUUUGCAAUGUUUUUGAUGUAUAAAAAUAGUGGAUUCAUGAGAAUAAAAUGAAGAUACUACUUUAAAUUACUAUAUUUCAUAAAUAAUUUACUUUGCUACCAUUUUCUGCUUAAGAGCCAGAGUGAUAAAUGCUUAAAUAUUUGUUUUUAUUUUAGCAUUUUGAAUCUUGAACCAUAAAAAUCACCUGAUCAAGUUGGUGAUUGGGUUGCAUUGCAUUUGUUAGUUAUAGUAAUAACUGUUUAAAAAAUUACCCAAAGUUCCACAGAAAUGAAAGAAACCAUGCCUGUAGUUAAUACAAGGUUGUUAUGAACUAUACAUGUCACUAAGAGGCUAGAUUAUAUGAAAUUAAUCUUGGAAGGCCGUUAGGCUUACCAUUAUACCAUCAACGUACACUGAAAUAGGUAAUUUUGAAUACAAAUUUUCUUUUAAGUUUAGUUUACUAUUACCCGAAGUUUCUUAUUUAAAAAUUUGGACUGUGGACAGCCAAUUAAUUUACCUUUUCUAUGAGAUUUAUACUUUUUUGAGAGGCUUAGGGGGAAAAAGAUAAUUUGAGGACCUCUCCAUCUCUUGCAUUGAUGAGAGGUGUGUGAUAGAGCAGAAAGUAUAACUCUGAUGCAGCAGUCAGGAGAGCUGGCUUCUAACCUAAAUUACCCUUGUGAUUUUGACGUUUUAUUCAUUGUGGCCCUUCUCUUAAUUUGUUUAAAGUAUUUGAAAUAUUCAAUUUCUUAUGAUACCUUUUUGGUCUCAAAUUGUGUGGUAAAAAUAAUAGAAUGUCUUGAUUCUCUUAAACUGCCUAAUUAUUUUUGUAGUUUUUGAAUUGCAAAUCAUGGUUGUUAUUUCUGUGGUGAAGUUAAUUUGAAUAACAAGACCUGGGUGAUAAUGUACCCAGCUUUCCUAAUUUUAGGCAUUCCAUAAUAUUAAUAAAUAGUAUAAAGCAGACAUAAUGGAAAGUUAAUCUUAAAAAGCAGUUAAGGUGUGAAAUUGUCUUUAAAAAACAAAGAUUUAGAAGGCUACAAUAAAAACAUUGUUUGAAUUUUUGCCUAGUUAUUUUAUUAAAUAAUUUAAAGAUUAGUGUAUUUAAGGUAAUUUGCACCUGACCAUCUGAUUAUAAAUGGUGAUUUAUAAUUUACAUGCUUGACAUAAUCUUUUUAAGAAGUUUCUAUUCUUCAAUGAUAAAUAUACCUCAUUUACCUUUUCCCUUACAGAUCGAGUGGCUCAAAACAGACAGUUUUCAUAUUGGCUGUUAGUGCUGAAUAUAGAUAAUUUUUAAAAUUUAAAUUCAAGGAUACUCUCAACUUUCUAAAGCAAAAACUGACUUUAUUUACGUAACAUUCAAGUAGCAUGUUUCUUACCGUUUGAUAAAGUUUUAUACAUUGUAUAAAGCUAGAUCCCUGUUUUAAAAGAUAGUUCUUUGUUUUUUGAAACUAUUCCAUUUAUUUGAAAUUGAAUAUUUCCUAAGCAAGCAAUUAUAUCCUUAAUGUGAUAGAGUCAUUUCAAUUUAGGUUAUUAAGCUAGAUAUUUUGCUUAACAUUAAUGGUUUGUGAGUUGUGAUGUUUUCUUAUAUAACUGUUAAUGAAUUUAUCACUACCUUAUUUUUGUGGAAGAUUUCUUAUAUUUCACAGUACUCUCAGGUUUAAUUCUUAAUUUAAAUGUAAAAAUUGUUUUAGGGACUUUAAAAGGUGACAAAAUCAGGAGUUCCCAUCGUGGUGCAGCAGAAACAAUCCAGCUAGGAACCAAGAGGUUUUGGGUUCGGAUCUCUGCUCUGUGGGUUAAGGAUCUGGCAUUACCAUGAGCUGUGGUGUACGUUGCAGAUGUUCAGACUUGGCGUUGCUGUGGCUGCUGUGGCAUAGGCUGGCAGCUUGGAUUGGAUCCCUAGCCUGGGAACCUCCAUAUGCUGUGGGUGCAGCCCCCCCCCAAAAAAAAGGUGACAAAAUAAAAUAUUCUUAGAUGCACAAAUGGGCUAGUAAUGGUAGGACUUGAUUCAGGCCAUCUUGUCUUUUAUUAUGACAAGCAAUCAAAAUUGUUAUUUGCAUUAUAGCUAUAAUUUCAUACUAAAUGAGGAUCUUUGAUACUGCAAAAUAUUAAAAAUAGGUAGGCAUGUGAGCAAAAUUAUCAACUUUGAUAGUUUGCUUAAUGUGAACUUGGUUUACCUCCCCCUUAAAAGGAGGGCUGAGUGGGCCGAGUACUGCUUUGUCAGUGUUUGGAAAGGAAAUUGUAUGGCAGGUUAAAUGGGUGUCAGUAAUCUUUGUGGUGGUACAAGAUGUGACCCAGGUCAUCUUCUGUUUUUGGUGGACUGAGCACCUUGAGCCCUAAUACUUGUACUGGUAGGUAGCCUUUUUUUCCUUUUUUUCUUUUUUUUAAAUUAGAGUACAGUUGAUUUACAAGUAGGUAGCUUUUUUGUAAGCAGGUUCUCAGACUGAUGUGAUAGAUUUCCCUCAGACUUUGCUUUCACCCAACAUUCCUUAGGUCAUUUCCACCCUUCUCUUGGGGUUUAUAUCAAUUUAUUUUACUUGGCUGAUUUAGAAUUUGUCUUUGUUCACAAACUUUUCUUUAUAAAGUCAGAUUAAAUUUGGAAGUUUAAGAAUAAAUAAUGCUGUGUUUCUUGUAAAUUGCUUCAUUUAUUAACUUCUUGGGAGGAUAUUUUAGCAUGUUGCUCUUAAAAGUAAUUUUGAAGCAGAUCUUUGCAAUAUUUCUUGGUUGUGAUUAGUCAAAAUGAUUAAAGGGAUUUAGAUUUGGUAAGAUAAUCAGGAAGUUGGCUUUAAAGUUUGAAAAUUGGAAACCUUAGUCAUGGAAAAGCAUUUGGGUAAGCAUAGUUUUAGAUUAAGUCCUAAACUUUGGCUUUCUAAAAAUCCUUACAUUGCUACACUUAAAUAGUGAACUUUUAAACAAAGCUUUUUGGGUAGUUCUAGCUAUUGUGAUUAUUAUGAUCAACUUAGGAGCAGGCGAGACUGAAAAAAGUGUAUACCUAUGUUCUCAAAAAUGUAUUUGAGAUGUAGGAAACAUCUUUCACAUGAGGUAUUUCAGUCUAACUAGUGAACUAACUAGUGAAGACUAUGGAUGUAUCCUGAUCAAGCAAAUAUUUUUAGGAAGGGUUAGUAUUGAGUAGGUCAUUGUAAGUAGUAGUACAAAAAGCUUGACAUUUUAAGAUUUCGAUCCUAGAACAGUGUUGAUUAGAGUACAUGAUAAUGUGAAAUAAUAUGGUAAUAUUAAGGAGUGAGUAAUACGGCCUUGCCAGGUUGGUAAUGGAAGUUUUCCUUUAGAAGUCUUAAAAGUAGAUUAGAUGAAAGACUAGAAAAUAAAGUAAUUCUGUGCUGUUAAGGAGUGAUAUUGGCUUUUAUAUUAAUCAGCUACCUCUCAGCUGCCCAUUAGAUCUACCUAAAGAGCCCAGACUUUACUAGGGAGUUCUUGGAGCAUGAGAAAUGUUUUUACUCUACAGGUGAGCCUUCUGAACAGUCAAAUUUAAGAUCCUCUGGAUUAGAACUUUGUUGUUUUGUUUUGUUUUGUUUUGUUUUGGAUUAGAACUUUUGGCUACAUUUAUAAAUGCACAUAUGUCUUGGUCUUUUGGAGAGUGAUCCUGAUAAGGUGUUGAAAUUUCCAAAUCUAUUUUUGUCUUUUUUGUAUGUGUACAAUUAUAUUCUUUUUGUUUUCUGCAGCAAUAUGAAUCCUGAGGCUGAAUUGUCUAAGGGGCCUGUACAGCGAAAUAGAUGUAAGUUUUACUCAAUUUACAUGUUUAAUUUGUUUUUUACUUUUACAUGUGACUUUGGAAAUUCUGAGUAAUUGAGUCAGAGUCUCUAAAAAUGUAGAAGAAUUUAGUGAAGUUCCAAGCAGUACAGAUAUAAAUCAACAUAGAUGUAUGUGGCUUAUUAUUAAAAUUUUGGUUAUUCCAACCUCUUUUCCUUUCUUUACUUAAAGAGAGGUAUAAAUGGAUGGAAGGAAACUCACAUUUGAACAUUCUUCUAAUACUGCACCCUAGCUGUUGGUAAGCUCCCCAUUUUUAUAAAUAAAGUUUUAUUGGAACACAGCUAAGCUCUUUCAUUUACGUAUUAGCUGUGUCUGCUUUCUGACUACAGCUGCAGAGAGUAGAUUUAGCUAAUGGCCACAAACCCUAACAUAUUUAGUUAUUUAGUAUUUUAACCUGUAAGGAAAUCUUGCCUAUCCUUUCCCUAGAUUCAUCCUUUUUGUCAACUUUAUGUAGAACUCAAAAGCACUUGGAUUCUCUUAAUAAUGGGGGUGUACCUUUUACUUUGUUAGUAUUUCAUUGUUAGAAUUCAAAUAACAUAAGUAAUCAUGAGCUUGGCUUAAACUCCAAAGCCCAACAAAGGUUCUUUCACACCAGCAUUAUGCUUUAAUAUUAGAAGAUUUGGGGAGUUCCCGGUGUGGCACAGUGGAAAUGAAUCAACUAGUAUAGUAUCCAUGAGGAUUUGGGUUCUAUCCCCGGCCUCACUCAGUGGAUUAAGGAUUUGGAGUUGCUGUGAGCUGUGGUGUAGGCCAGCAGCUGCAGCUCUGAUUCGACCCCUAGUCUAGGAACUUCCUUAUGACACAGGUAUGGCC